GUAAAACUACUCGUAAAAAUGUUUUCCACUAUGGGCCAUAAGAUAUUGUGAGGUUUUUUCUAAGGACUGAUGAAAGUACAACUGCCCUACCGCUUAAAUUGUAAGCCAGUGUGUUCUAAAGAGGCCUAAGUCAUCAAUUAGCUCGAAUUUAGUUAGUUGAUGGCUAAGUGAAUAGACGUUAUGUCUGAAGUCUAGUGAGACAUGGUGGCAAAUUCCGACCAUGAAAGUACAAUAUUUUAGAUCAUUUCUAGACAGUAUCGAUGCUAUAAAGGUUUACAUCAAA
This is a long non-coding RNA of Drosophila willistoni, 283 nucleotides long. RefSeq lists it as uncharacterized. The record is from RefSeq and is a predicted model, not a curated record. The transcript is spliced from 2 exons. NCBI's taxonomy places the organism in Eukaryota, Metazoa, Arthropoda, Insecta, Diptera, Drosophilidae.